Long non-coding RNA from Papaver somniferum (opium poppy), 2308 nucleotides. RefSeq lists it as uncharacterized. NCBI's taxonomy places the organism in Eukaryota, Viridiplantae, Streptophyta, Magnoliopsida, Ranunculales, Papaveraceae. The transcript has 7 exons. The record is from RefSeq and is a predicted model, not a curated record.
UUGUCUCAGACAAAUAAUGUUUCUCAUCCUCAUCUCCACCUCCUUAGUUUUCUCGGGCGACAAGCUUUCACUUUCUUUUCUGUAAAAACGAAAAAUGAAAUCUAGGGUUUAUCCCUUAUCUUUCUUGUGAUUUCUUUUUUGUGGGUACUCGAGAGAUCGAGUUAAUGGAGGAUAUAAGUAGAUCAAGUGGAUCCUCUCUGCCUUCAUCAAGAUCAGCAGGCAGGGGGCCAUAAUGGUAUCAGCAAAAUCAUUUUCGGAUCCCUACUUUAUUAAAGUUCGGGUUAACACAAUCUGAGAAUUCCUUUUUGGCAGACAAAUUUGUCUUUCUAAUGUUGCUAUUAUGUCUUUUGUGAUGAAUUGUUUAGGUUAUGUAAUGUUUACACUCCCCAAGGAGAAUCGAUCUCAAUGCGCUGCUGAAAAGAUUUUCAGCAUUCCUAUUGUUGAGAAAGAAGUUUCAUGGUAUGGGAUUGAGCAAGAGUACACCCUGUGCAGAAGGAUGCUUACUGGCCUCUUGAAUGGAUGGCAGAACCAGUAUAUUCAGUGAAGACCAAAUAUGACUGCUUUCUCUCAUCGCAAUGUGUUCUGACGUAUGAACUAGAAGCGAUAAUGUGGUUGUGCAACGGUUUUCCGGAGGGACAGAUUUUCCCAUGUGAAGAAGUCAAGGUUUGGAGAUUACAGACUAUCUCUUUCGCAGCAUGCAUCUUCGUCAGAAUUCAAUUUGGUGAAUUCCUCUCUAAACAAAAGUGCGCUGAGGGGUAGUGUAAGUAGUGCAGAACUAUCAGUCUAUCACAGUAUGAGAUCUCGAAUGGGGUAAUUGUAGAAACCAAUUGUAAGAAUCGUACUAUGGCUGUCAAGAAAAAUCUGAUUUGUGUGUAAAAGAGGGAUUGGGUAGUGAGUCUAGUGAUCCAGUGUUUGUCAACAUCAGACAAGGGUCUACCUCGAAACCAACUUGCACGGGAUGCCAAACUCGGAGUGGGCUACUCAUGCGUCAUGCCGUGCUUACUGGUUCACAAUCAGAAGAGGGCAGUUUAUAUGAAAGGUUAGUGGUCAUCUUGUUUUAAUCAUCUAGAUCACUGUCUUUAAACGGAUAGGUAAUGGCAAGUACAAAUUUACCUCUUAUUUGAAUGAGAAUGAAAAAUAGUGCACAUGUACAGUAGCUAGAGAAGAAACAUAAUUUGAUCAUGAGGAUGUAUUGGGCAUUUAAACCAAAGACUGUUUAUUAUUUGGCGCAGCUAGAAAUUGUUGGAACAUCUAAUUUGUAAUUGUCUAGAAUGAUCUAGAAAAAUAUAGAGAAAUGUAGAAAACAAGUAUUCUAGAAUGUACUAGAGGAGCCAAAGUCCUUCGAGACUUGGCUAAGUUACAAAUGUUAGUCAAAAAGAUGUCCUAGUCUAAAUGUCUACUAGGAUAUUCUAGAGAAAGUCAAGUAGGUCAAAUUAGUUUACAUUUAGAAAACUCUAAAUACAACUAGAGUAGAGUGAAGUAAUAUGAAGCCUAUAAAUAGGCAUGUUGUGCACCAUUUGUAAGCAAGCAAGAAGAUUAAAUUCAAUAGAAAAGAAAAUUCGAAGUUACAAAUCCUUGCUUCCACCUUCACUACUAGAGUUCUAGGAGCUCUAUACGAGCAACACCACUAUGUUCGUAUAUCUCCAUAAAUAUUAUUCAACGUUAAAAUUAUUUCAAUUUCUAACAGAAAUGACCCAUAAAAAGGAGUUUAGUUUUACUAUCUUUAAAUGUACAUAAAUGUCACCUUAUUUCCGUGGAAAUUAGUCAUAUUGCUGGUAUUCUUAUAUCUGAAGGUGUGUAGUGGAAUUAAUCUCACAACAUGGAGAACUGCCGGAUCGAAGUUUAGGUUCACUUGUGCCUAUAAAAUAAAAUUCCCUGUCCAUUUUUUUUUUAAUUUGAAGCCAGUUCCCAUAGAGGGUUCCAUCUGGGUCGGUGUUGGACCAUUUUUUUGCAGGUGAUGCGCUGUUACUGGACCUUGUUUUUGCUUUUACCUGGUUUUCGCUUUUACCUUGUUUUCUUGUAAAGUGGCUGUCCAUUCCGAGGUGGAAUCAACUAGGCUGCUCAGUCGCUGACAGAAUCUGUGGUCCCAAUCACUCAGAAGAAAGCUGCUUUAUCUCGACUUCUUAAGUUCUGUGCAGGGAGUCACUGUUUUUCACUUCGAAAGAUCACUAAAGAACGCAUAUAAGACCAGUGUUGAGGCUCAAUGCAAAGAAGUAUUGGAAUUACAUUUUAUGUUCUGUGUAUUAUAGAUUUAAUGUAAAAAAGCAAAUACAUUUUGAGGUAAUCAAUUUAUAUAAUUUUUAUGGUU